CAGUAGCCGCGGUAAAACGAGGGGUGCAAGCGUUAAUCGGAAUUACUGGGCGUAAAGCGUGCGUAGGCGGUUUGUUAAGUCUGCUGUGAAAUCCCCGGGCUCAACCUGGGAAUGGCAGUGGAUACUGGCAAGCUAGAGUGUGUCAGAGGAUGGUGGAAUUCCCGGUGUAGCGGUGAAAUGCGUAGAUAUCGGAAGGAACACCUGUGGCGAAAGCGGCUUACCGGACCAUAACUGACGCUGAGGCACGAAAGCUAGGGGAGCAAACAGGAUUAGAUACCCGCGUAGUCCCUGUCUCUUAUAC
RNAcentral lists this ribosomal RNA (301 nucleotides) under uncultured bacterium. RNAcentral's name for it is "partial 16S ribosomal RNA". It matches the Rfam family "Bacterial small subunit ribosomal RNA", at positions 509 to 807 of the family's 1533-position model. The record is from RNAcentral.